Gallus gallus (chicken) is the source of this 1865-nucleotide long non-coding RNA. Lineage: Eukaryota; Metazoa; Chordata; Aves; Galliformes; Phasianidae. The record is from Ensembl.
AAUUAUCCAGAAUCAGACUUGAAUCUGACUUGGAAUCUGUUCCUUCUUGGAAGUUUUUCUCACUCGCACAUAAUUAUUGAGCUAGUGGAGCAAUUCUAUGCACUGAAUGGAUUUCUCAGAGUGCCACGCUGAAGCAGAAACAGAAGGAUGAAAGGUUCUCUAUCCUCUUACAAAUGGUUUCCUGAGAAGCACUACAAUGCUGGCUUCUCACUGUAGCAAUCAAGAGCUGAAGGCAGCAGUUGUUGCUGUUGGUGGCUGAAGCCAUGCAGCAUAUGCCAGCAAUGGAACAUGGUCUUUACCCAGAUGCCUGGGUGAAGCUGCAGGAGCCACAGAAAUCAAGCAUUCUUCUGGUGAAGCUUUCUAAGAUCAGAAGUGCCAAUGAAAUCAAGGAUGACAAAUGAACGAUGUGUUAAAACAGGUGUGGCAGUGGAGAAAGGAGCCCUUGUGGUCACUGCUGCCCACAGACUGGCACUGGGUGCGUGCAUACUGACAGUCACAGACUCCACUGUAGUUUGAGCAUCCGAAGAGCAUAAAGCCUGGGUGGCUAUGAAUGACUUCCAUGUGUCAUUUGAAUGAAGGUAUUUUGAAGACUGGCUAUUGACACCUGAAACAAUUACUAUUCUGCUCGUGGAUUUGACACCUCAGACUAGUUAAUCACCAGAGGGGCUUCACAUGCCAUCAGAAGGUGAGAGCUUUCACUAUAGAAAUACCAAAGUCCUGACAGCAGCUCGUGGCAGAGGGCAGGAAUGGUGUCCAUUUGCACUUAGAAUAUUUGCAUGCAGUGGUGUUUGUAAUGUAUCCUGAGGGCAAUGUGGACCUUCAAAUCCAAACUCAUCUCCUGCAGCCAAGGCCACUUCUUGCCCUUGGGAAAAGCAGUCACAGUGGCAAGGAUGCCUAGACGUGUAAAUGGGGAGUUCCUGCAUUGUGCUGGAGGCAAGCUGUAGAGCAGUGAGCUGCUGUGGCAUAAAACACCAGAAUGUUGGCUCUUGGCUCCAUGAAGUGGCCAACAUCAGCAUGAGUAACUGGGUGGCUAAUUAGAGGUAACUGUCUACUUGGAAGAACUUUCUUCAUGUCUCAUUUUGAACUCCCUGAGUGUGGUGGUCUAGGAAGUAAUUAACAUGCUUUUAGCCUCAGGGUUACUUGUGGCUGGAUUCAUAAACAUAGAUACUGUUGUACAUUACUAAUUUUUGAUUUACAAAGUACCAACAGUUUGAUUUAAGAAAUUGCCGGAGUUAAUCUUGAUUUUAUGCACUGUAAAUGUUUCAUAUACUAUAAACUUUCCUGUAAACAUAAAUUGUCAGCAGAAAAAAAUCUAGGAAGCCUUCUUUCACUUUUUUUAUUAGUUCUAUUUCAGGAGCAGAGGCUCUGCACUAUGAAUAGCUUUGGCAAGCAUAUUCCCUUAGCUCCUACCUGUUCAAGCACAGCAAAUUUCUAUUCUUAACUCCUGAUUUUUGCUUGUCCCUCUACUGCAAUUUCAUUUUUUAUUUACAAAGCCUUCCACCGAUGUACACAAUAUCUUAUUUGGAAGCUAACAAGAGAUAGCAUAGUGGGAAAGGCUCUUUAACUGGGCUCCUCUGAGAGACAGAAGAGAGUAAUGGAGAGAAAGUGUUGGUCUUUGCUUACUGGAAGCAAGGAAAUCCCUGGUGGAUGUCCCUGUGCAACUGCUCUGCCACUCUUGGAAGGCAGGAAAAUAAUUCUUAACAAAGCACAAAUUUUAUUUGAAAAUGUGAAAGGUCUAAUACUGAACACGGUACAUUGUAUCUGUGAUUCACCUUCAUCUGCCAUGUAUGUGUUAUUUUUCUUUUUCCUGUACUGUUUUACCCUAUGACUUAUGAGGCUUUGAACUCACUUUCUGUCUCAAAAUG